CCGUUUUAAAUUUCCUUUAGUGUCCCUUAACUUACAUACCGAGUUACAUAUGCUGUAAGGCACCAUACUAUUAGGCUCGCGAUUGAUUUGGCGGCACAAAACUCAUGGCCUAUUUUCCAAGCAAAUUGUAGGAAAGAAAAUUGCUUAGCUUUACGGCUAGUGAUUAUGAUGGAGAUGUUGAUUAUCAGAAAUGCAUUUUAGGAUAUGUUUUGACUUUUGAUGCUUGGUUUUGGAGUGUUUCAUGGUAUUCAAAAUAGCAAUAAGUUAGUACUUUAUCAAUACAUAAAGCAGAGCUUUUUGCUCCAACAACAUGUGAUUGUUUUAAGGUGCAAUCAAUUUGUCACUUUGUAAACUCCUGUAAUGUGACCAAGUUACUGUCACUACAGGAAAAUAAAAGGGCUAUUUCUGCUGCAAAGGAAACAAUGAAUGGCUCUCUUAGUUGCAUUAUUUACUUCUAAAAUAAAACCAUUAUAUAAUCGGUUCAAUUCCUGGAUAAAAUAAUUUUUUAUCAGACUUUACUUAUCUCCUCAGUUUGAUUCCUGAAUAUUAAAGGAUAUAAUGGAUAGUUUGAAGCGCCAUAGGAUAUUUUUAAACCGUCUCAAAAGUUUUUGAUUUAAUUUCUUCAUCAAUAUCUAUUUUACAAUGACUUUGUUAUUUGAGAAAGUUCCUACAAACUACAACAUAAGAUCAACUAUCUAGGUGUAAAACUAGUUACCGUAAGUUCGUUAAAACUUUUUGAAGUUGAAUCUUCAUUGGGCAGUCUUCCGACAGAAAAUGCUGGUCUUUCGGGUUUUGGAAGGACCAUCGUGUUGCUCCCUAGCAUGAGAACAACAGUGGACAUAGUUGGUC
Molecule: long non-coding RNA, 849 nt
Filed under: Trifolium pratense (red clover)
Lineage: Eukaryota; Viridiplantae; Streptophyta; Magnoliopsida; Fabales; Fabaceae
Description: long non-coding RNA (TPRA_LNC014176)
Source: RNAcentral